RNAcentral lists this ribosomal RNA (209 nucleotides) under uncultured bacterium. RNAcentral's name for it is "partial 16S ribosomal RNA". It matches the Rfam family "Bacterial small subunit ribosomal RNA", at positions 1285 to 1500 of the family's 1533-position model. The record is from RNAcentral.
GUCCCAGUUCGGACUGGAGUCUGCAACCCCGACUCCACGAAGUUGGAUUCGCUAGUAAUCGCGCAUCAGCCAUGGCGCGGUGAAUACGUUCCCGGGCCUUGUACACACCGCCCGUCAAGCCAUGGGAGCCGGGGGCGCCUGAAGUCCGGGACCGCGAGGACCGGCCUAGGGCGAAACUGGUAACUGGGGCUAAGUCGUAACAAGGUAGC